AGGACGUGAUUUCUUAAAGGAUUCAAUGACAACAAGAUUACAAGAAUUUCGGGAGAAAAAAAAGAACCAAGCUUCUUACGAAAAGAUAUCUUUGCCAUCUCCCAAGAGUGACAACGACUAUGACGACAUUGACAAAACUCCUUCUACAGCAGUACUUGAUGAUAAUAACAGUGAAGUCAUCAUUGGUGUUUUGCCUUCUAC
Xenia sp. Carnegie-2017 is the source of this 201-nucleotide long non-coding RNA. RefSeq lists it as uncharacterized. The record is from RefSeq and is a predicted model, not a curated record. NCBI's taxonomy places the organism in Eukaryota, Metazoa, Cnidaria, Anthozoa, Malacalcyonacea, Xeniidae. The transcript has 3 exons.